Non-coding RNA from Paramuricea clavata, 332 nucleotides. The record is from the annotation of a GenBank genome assembly. NCBI's taxonomy places the organism in Eukaryota, Metazoa, Cnidaria, Anthozoa, Malacalcyonacea, Plexauridae.
CUUCGAAUGAUGUUAUCGAUUCUGAAAUUGACGUUUUUGCUAUAAACGAAUUUAAAAUUAAUAAUUCAGUAAAAGAUAGUGAAAUAAGUAUCCCAGGAUAUAAUAUGAUUCGCAAUAGAUUAUAGAAAUAAGUAUCCCAGGAUAUAAUAUGAUACGCAAUAGAUUUGGGGGUUGAGUGGUUGUUUAUAUUCGAGAGAUAUAUUCCUUCUAUGAGCGGAGGGAUUUAAAUUCAGAUGAUCUUGAAAUGAUUUGUAUUGAGAUUUGUAAACCACGAAGCAAGCCAUUUCUUAUUAGUGCAUGGUACAGACCACCCAACUCUGAGAUGAAAUUAU